Molecule: non-coding RNA, 114 nt
Organism: Acanthosepion pharaonis
Lineage: Eukaryota; Metazoa; Mollusca; Cephalopoda; Sepiida; Sepiidae
Source: the annotation of a GenBank genome assembly
UUACGGCCAUACAACGUUGAAAUACCGGUUUCCAUACGAUCAUCGAAGGUAAGCAACGUUGAACUUCGCCAGUACCUUGAUGGGUGACGGUUUAGGAAGACCAAGUGCUGUAAG